AUGAUAUCAUUAAAUCAGAUAGAAAACAGAAAAAGGCGAGACCAAUAUAUGGCACGGCGAAAUAGAUUAACACCUGAACAGAGGGAGGAAAUCAAUGCACGUUGCAGAGAAGCUAGGAAAAAAACAGAGGAGGAGAGGACUGCCCGUCAAAGAGAAGCCAGGCAACGAAUGACACCAGAGGAGAAGCAACAGAGUAACACCCUUAGAAGGGCGGCCUACCAAAAUAUGUCAGUCCAUGACAACCAAGAGACAAACACCCGCCGAAGAACACGUCUGCAAAACAAAUCACCUAAGGAGAAGCAGAACAUGCUAGCUCAGCGCAAGAAGAGACUCGCGGCUAGGCGCAACACCCCUUGCGCUGAAUCCAUCGCAAUGCCGCGCCCUGAUGCAGGUACCUUAGCUACACCCAACCUGAUGUCGAGCACUCAUACGUUGGCAUUCAGAGAAUCCGAAGCUUCAGCUCCUGCCCCUGCCCCCCGGUUUGCGAGUAAGGCUGGGAACAACUUCGAAUCAGACGGUAAUCCUUCCAUCUUUACUCUACUUGUUCUGUCCAUGUGCAUUGAACCAGUAUAUAACGGCUCCACAACGGUGCAGGCGAGUACCUUAGUCAUACCCUGGAUGAUAAUGAUGCCCCCAACGAACUCAUAA
RNAcentral lists this ribosomal RNA (648 nucleotides) under Triticum aestivum (bread wheat). Its description in RNAcentral is "partial small subunit ribosomal RNA". Lineage: Eukaryota; Viridiplantae; Streptophyta; Magnoliopsida; Poales; Poaceae. The record is from RNAcentral.